UCUCCCCUCAUCUCUCUCUCUCUCUCUCUCUCUCUCUCCAGACCUAAACAAGAUCUAGUUUUUCUCCCCUCCUCCUAAUUUUCGAUCUCUCCCUCUCUAGUGUUUUCUUCUAGGUAACUGUUGCAACCCAUCACAAUUGUCAUCCGUUUUCAAUCUCAUCAAGGAGUGACCUCCGUCGGCCUAGACGAUGCCGAUUCAAGUUUACGCUAUUAUAUUUCUGUAAUCUCUGACAUUUCCGUAGGCGUUCGAUAGUGGGGAUCUGAUGUUCCCACAAAUUUGCAGCUAUGGAGAGGCGGCGGAUCUACGAUCUGAUGUUCCAAUAUGACCAGAUCAGACACCGAUCAAGACACCAAACGGUUCCAUAUGGAAGUCGUCAUCACCAACGCUAUCAACAAGUGAUGGGUUCGUCAACACCGUCUUCUGGGUCCAGACCAUUCUCGGCCGAAGCUUAGGUCGGGUACAGGGCCGACGUGAUCUGAAGAGUCCGGCGUCCCCGAUGAAUAUCUUCGUACAAAGACAACUUUAUUAAGGAGUAACUUGAAUCCAGUCUCGAAUGAGGAGUCAUGUUGUUUGUUCCUUGGUGAUAUGGAGAAUUGAAGAUUUGAAGGCAUUGAGCUUUACAGUUGUUAACCUGAAGGUGGAUUAGCUUUUGGUUGCCUUGGAGGAGCAGGAGACUACUUUUCUCAAACAGUUUGAUCAAGCUCCAAAAAAGCUUUAGCCAAGUUCACAAGUUCAAGAUUUACGGCAAGGAUUUACUACAGUUAAUCAGGAAGCUAAAGCAUUAUUAAGAAGAUACAUAUAUCGUACAGGAACCAUAAGAAACUAAUAGAAAGCAUAUGAAAGUUGAUGGAGGUAGAGGUAGCAGAUGCAGCUAAGGGGAGGAACAUGAAGAGAUUUAUGUUUUUUUAUGUUGUAGUUUUGUUUUACUUUUAUGAAUUGUACAGUAUAUUUUAGAAAUAUAUAGUAUAUUUGAAGUUUUAUAUGAA
Rosa rugosa (rugosa rose) is the source of this 986-nucleotide long non-coding RNA. RefSeq lists it as uncharacterized. The record is from RefSeq and is a predicted model, not a curated record. Lineage: Eukaryota; Viridiplantae; Streptophyta; Magnoliopsida; Rosales; Rosaceae. The transcript has 6 exons.